Molecule: ribosomal RNA, 1540 nt
Filed under: Staphylococcus hyicus
Lineage: Bacteria; Bacillati; Bacillota; Bacilli; Caryophanales; Staphylococcaceae
Description: 16S ribosomal RNA
Rfam family: Bacterial small subunit ribosomal RNA
Source: RNAcentral
AGAGUUUGAUCCUGGCUCAGGAUGAACGCUGGCGGCGUGCCUAAUACAUGCAAGUCGAGCGAACGGACGAGAAGCUUGCUUCUCUGAUGUUAGCGGCGGACGGGUGAGUAACACGUGGAUAACCUACCUAUAAGACUGGGAUAACUUCGGGAAACCGGAGCUAAUACCGGAUAAUAUUUUGAACCGCAUGGUUCAAAAGUGAAAGACGGUCUUGCUGUCACUUAUAGAUGGAUCCGCGCUGCAUUAGCUAGUUGGUAAGGUAAUGGCUUACCAAGGCAACGAUGCAUAGCCGACCUGAGAGGGUGAUCGGCCACACUGGAACUGAGACACGGUCCAGACUCCUACGGGAGGCAGCAGUAGGGAAUCUUCCGCAAUGGGCGAAAGCCUGACGGAGCAACGCCGCGUGAGUGAUGAAGGUCUUCGGAUCGUAAAACUCUGUUAUUAGGGAAGAACAUAUGUGUAAGUAACUGUGCACAUCUUGACGGUACCUAAUCAGAAAGCCACGGCUAACUACGUGCCAGCAGCCGCGGUAAUACGUAGGUGGCAAGCGUUAUCCGGAAUUAUUGGGCGUAAAGCGCGCGUAGGCGGUUUUUUAAGUCUGAUGUGAAAGCCCACGGCUCAACCGUGGAGGGUCAUUGGAAACUGGAAAACUUGAGUGCAGAAGAGGAAAGUGGAAUUCCAUGUGUAGCGGUGAAAUGCGCAGAGAUAUGGAGGAACACCAGUGGCGAAGGCGACUUUCUGGUCUGUAACUGACGCUGAUGUGCGAAAGCGUGGGGAUCAAACAGGAUUAGAUACCCUGGUAGUCCACGCCGUAAACGAUGAGUGCUAAGUGUUAGGGGGUUUCCGCCCCUUAGUGCUGCAGCUAACGCAUUAAGCACUCCGCCUGGGGAGUACGACCGCAAGGUUGAAACUCAAAGGAAUUGACGGGGACCCGCACAAGCGGUGGAGCAUGUGGUUUAAUUCGAAGCAACGCGAAGAACCUUACCAAAUCUUGACAUCCUUUGACAACUCUAGAGAUAGAGCCUUCCCCUUCGGGGGACAAAGUGACAGGUGGUGCAUGGUUGUCGUCAGCUCGUGUCGUGAGAUGUUGGGUUAAGUCCCGCAACGAGCGCAACCCUUAAGCUUAGUUGCCAUCAUUAAGUUGGGCACUCUAAGUUGACUGCCGGUGACAAACCGGAGGAAGGUGGGGAUGACGUCAAAUCAUCAUGCCCCUUAUGAUUUGGGCUACACACGUGCUACAAUGGACAAUACAAAGGGCAGCGAAACCGCGAGGUCAAGCAAAUCCCAUAAAGUUGUUCUCAGUUCGGAUUGUAGUCUGCAACUCGACUACAUGAAGCUGGAAUCGCUAGUAAUCGUAGAUCAGCAUGCUACGGUGAAUACGUUCCCGGGUCUUGUACACACCGCCCGUCACACCACGAGAGUUUGUAACACCCGAAGCCGGUGGAGUAACCUUUUAGGAGCUAGCCGUCGAAGGUGGGACAAAUGAUUGGGGUGAAGUCGUAACAAGGUAGCCGUAUCGGAAGGUGCGGCUGGAUCACCU